UAUCUCUGUAGAGUCUGCAUAUCAAUAAGCGGAGGAAAAGAAACUAACUAGGAUUCCCUCAGUAACGGCGAGUGAAGCGGGAAGAGCUCAAAUUUGAAAUCUUCAAGGUUCUACCUUGACGAAUUGUAGUUUAAAGAAGUGUUUUCUGUUGGAGUUUUGGUAAAAGUUCUUUGGAAUAGGACAUCAUAGAGGGUGAGAAUCCCGUAUUUGACCAUUAUUUCCAGCUGUGUGAUACACUUUCGAAAGAGUCGGAUUGUUUGGGAAUGCAGUCCAAAAUGGGUGGUAAAUUUCAUCUAAAGCUAAAUAUUGGCGAGAGACCGAUAGCGAACAAGUACCGUGAGGGAAAGAUGAAAAGAACUUUGAAAAGAGAGUUAAACAGUACGUGAAAUUGUCAAAAGGGAAGCGUUUGACACCAGUGUUGUUUUCUCGAAAAUCAAUUAAAAAUGACUGGAUUUUGUGUUGUAUUGACUUUAUCAGCUUUCUGCACUCUUUUCUUGUCUUUUUUAAUGCACUUUUCGUUUAACAAGUCAACAUCAAUUUCUUUUGUUGUAAAAGGGUCAUUGGAAGGUGGCUUUCUUUUCGGAGAAAGUGUUUAUAGCCUUUGGCCUCUGCAAUCGGAGAGAUUGAGGUCUGCAGCGUAGAUCCUUCGGGGUUAGAUACAUUUGUGCUAAGUUAUAGCCUUUCAUAGACAACUUAUUGACUAUGAUCAGUCAUGUAGCUUACUCGCUUAUGCUAUUUUACCUACGCUUAGGAUGUUGAGUAGCGACAUACGCAC
This 775-nucleotide ribosomal RNA is filed under the name uncultured Neocallimastigales. RNAcentral describes it as "partial large subunit ribosomal RNA". It matches the Rfam family "Eukaryotic large subunit ribosomal RNA", at positions 24 to 649 of the family's 3401-position model. The record is from RNAcentral. Lineage: Eukaryota; Fungi; Neocallimastigomycota; Neocallimastigomycetes; Neocallimastigales.